GCAAGUCGAGCGAACUGAUUAGAAGCUUGCUUCUAUGACGUUAGCGGCGGACGGGUGAGUAACACGUGGGCAACCUGCCUGUAAGACUGGGAUAACUUCGGGAAACCGAAGCUAAUACCGGAUAGGAUCUUCUCCUUCAUGGGAGAUGAUUGAAAGAUGGUUUCGGCUAUCACUUACAGAUGGGCCCGCGGUGCAUUAGCUAGUUGGUGAGGUAACGGCUCACCAAGGCAACGAUGCAUAGCCGACCUGAGAGGGUGAUCGGCCACACUGGGACUGAGACACGGCCCAGACUCCUACGGGAGGCAGCAGUAGGGAAUCUUCCGCAAUGGACGAAAGUCUGACGGAGNAACGCCGCGUGAGUGAUGAAGGCUUUCGGGU
RNAcentral lists this ribosomal RNA (378 nucleotides) under Bacillus sp. (in: firmicutes). Its description in RNAcentral is "bacterial SSU rRNA". It matches the Rfam family "Bacterial small subunit ribosomal RNA", at positions 57 to 423 of the family's 1533-position model. The record is from RNAcentral. Lineage: Bacteria; Bacillati; Bacillota; Bacilli; Caryophanales; Bacillaceae.